AACGAACGCUGGCGGCAUGCCUAACACAUGCAAGUCGAACGAGACCUUCGGGUCUAGUGGCGCACGGGUGCGUAACGCGUGGGAAUCUGCCCUUGGGUUCGGAAUAACAGUUAGAAAUGACUGCUAAUACCGGAUAAUGUCUUCGGACCAAAGAUUUAUCGCCCAGGGAUGAGCCCGCGUAGGAUUAGCUAGUUGGUGAGGUAAAGGCUCACCAAGGCGACGAUCCUUAGCUGGUCUGAGAGGAUGAUCAGCCACACUGGGACUGAGACACGGCCCAGACUCCUACGGGAGGCAGCAGUGGGGAACAUUGGACAAUGGGCGAAAGCCUGAUCCAGCAAUGCCGCGUGAGUGAUGAAGGCCUUAGGGUUGUAAAGCUCUUUUACCCGGGAUGAUAAUGACAGUACCGGGAGAAUAAGCCCCCGGCUAACUCCGUGCCAGCAGCCGCGGUAAU
RNAcentral lists this ribosomal RNA (451 nucleotides) under uncultured bacterium. RNAcentral's name for it is "bacterial SSU rRNA". It matches the Rfam family "Bacterial small subunit ribosomal RNA", at positions 29 to 524 of the family's 1533-position model. The record is from RNAcentral.